AUCCAACUGACAAGUCCCAAAUAGAACUAAACUCACGUCCUAGAU
Molecule: non-coding RNA, 45 nt
Organism: Schistosoma mansoni
Lineage: Eukaryota; Metazoa; Platyhelminthes; Trematoda; Strigeidida; Schistosomatidae
Source: Rfam